CAAAUAUUUUAUGACUUAAAUUCAAUGCCCAACUUGUUCCUUAAAAAUGCUCAUUAUUUUUGGUAUGGAUCAAAACCAUUGCCAAAAAUAUCAAACAUCAAAUAAGAGCAUUUUGGGUUCUUGAAUGCAAUUUAUUUAAGCUGGACCUAUUUGGAUUUCAAAGUGCGAGGGUUUUAUCACCCCCAAUUCAACUUUUAAAUAAAAUUUGAACAUGAUGCACACAUGAAGCUAGCCUAGUGCAAAACCAUAAGCUAGGGAUGUGACAACUCACCCCCACUAAAACAAGAAUCUCGUCCCGAGAUUCAAGACGUGAGGUAAGAAAUCAGAGGGGACACAAAGCUAACAUGAUCUUCAUGAUCCAACUGCCCUUCUCAGAGAUGUUGAUCCGCUACAUCAUAUUGAUUAUGACAUCCUUUCCUUCGAGAACUUCAUCCAACAUGGCGACAAGAGAGCAAGACAACCUCACAAGACUGGAUCAUCGAUCUUAAUGAACACAAGAUCAACUCACGGAAUGAGACGUAGAAACAUCCAUUGAGGUGAGACGCAGAACACACAUCGAGAGGGGAGGAAAGAAACAUAUGACAAGGUUUCAAUUUGGCAGGCUACAAUUCCACACUUGACUAAGAUGGAGCAUGAAUUUCAAAGUAGCAAGGAGAUAAUUGCUAUGAUUUUGUAACGUGAUACCUUAAGGAAGGUGACUUGUGGAAUUAUCCCUUAAGUGGCAAAAAGAAUUACUUUUGAUACAGAGAUCAUUGGAACUCUCUAUACCAGCCUAUGGAAAUUUACAAGCGAUCGUUUGACGGAGUUAUGGAGAGUGACACACUCGGGCUAGAAUGGAUGUGGUGGACUACCUUGUUGAAGACAACGUAAUGGAUGAAUUUGCUUGCGCGUGCUCUCAAGAACUUGAGCAUUUCCAUAUUCACCAAGGUUCUACCAACAUCCAAGUCGAGGAUCCUGGCAACACAUCUUACUACCUUGACAAAUAGUGAUGGAUAAUGCAGAUGCAUAGAACGACAACCCUUUCUCAGAUUUCACCUUAGCAAGGCCAAGGGAAUGAAAUUUGGAUGAUUGACCGAGAGACAUUUAGCACUCCGCUUCUAAUGUUCUCCUUGAUGUACUGGUUACCACGGUCAUGCUUUAAAGCAUCAACAUAGUCAUCAAGUAGUGGUCGGACUUCGGAAUAUAAAGGAUCCAUAAGAAUGAACUCCUGGAGUAAAUCCUACGAAAUCCUUAUGGGGAGGUGGCCAACUUCCUCAAUCAAGAUACUACAAUAAUAGGUCUUCUGGCUGGGAGUGUUGGCCACGACAUUCACUUUACCGGUUACAGAGAGACCAAUAUUAUAGUUCUUGGAGUGUGUUCCAACCAUCAUAUCUGCCUGAGAUUCAGAUCUGGUUGGUGUAAGGAUAUUCCAGACACAUCGAGUCUAGAAAGAAAAAUGAUAGUUUGCAACACAAAUCAACGAAACGACGUUGCGAGAUUCUCGGAAAUGGACUACGAUAGUAAGCUCCAAAAUAUGAGCUGGUCUUGCUAUAAACAGGUGAACACGUUGUCUGAGACAAGCGUGACCAUGUAGUAGUCUUAUAAUAAAACACUACCGAGUUCAGGGGGAACCAUCAACGAGGAUAUCGAAGUCCUUGCGUAAGUCUAGCUCUUAAGAAGAAACUUCUUCUCCUUGAACAAAUCAAUCAGUGGCUUGGUGUGCUAGGGACACAUAUGGACUGGAGGUAGCGAACCUAACAAACCAUAGAAUACUUCGCACAUGCAUGACUAACUUGGGAUGACUCCAAAGGAUGCAAAACAAGCUUUCUCGAAUCCACGGCGGCAACUUGUAUCAGAUGCACAUGAAUUAGAGGAAGUUGCAUAUUUCAACCGGACAUAUGCUUCAUGAACGGGACAUGAGGGAAAUUCUUAUAAAGUUUCCAACACUAGUAUAAUGUUCAACAUGAAUCAUGGGGGAGACAAAAUGCUGCUGAUGGGCUCAAUAGCAACUCAUCGGAAUUUCCAUAUCACUGGACUUCCACUAUUAUGUGAACAAUGUGAUAGUAUUGGUUAGACCAAAAUAUGUAAUGGUGUAUGCUCGAGGGAUCAUCCAGGGGUAAGACAACAUUACGAACAUCGUUGGUUCUGAAUUGACUUGACAAUAGCCCAUACUCAAGUCAAUGUUUUGAGAAGGCAAUAGAUCCAACAACUGAUCACGAGGGCCAAUCAAUGGAGAUAUCAUCUUUCUUCAACACACACACACAGAAGAUAUCCCUUAGAGAUGAACUAAGAUAAGCAAAGCAUUAUCUUCCAGCUCUCCAAGUUGUUGUCUAGGUCAACCAACUGGUUCAGGGAUAUCCAACACGGAUUCUUGGAGAAUGGGUGGUUUAGAGGAAAACCAACAUGAUCACGAACUCAACAUAGCGGUCAGGUGACAACCUGGUAAUACUUCUGAGAAGAUUUUCGGAACAUCACGAACCACCGAUAUGUUACUAAGCUCGAGAACAGUCUUGCUUUUCAGAGCAAGACGAUAUGAUCAAAUAAGCAAGGGACUGAAUAAUCCUAACUCAUUGGUCGAAGAGUGCACCAGAAAUAAGGACAAGGUAGCACAGUCUAUCUUAGAAUGAUGAUUCAAUAACCAACACGCUAAGAAUGAAACUAUUGUCCAUUUACAACUAAGCAACAUCGUUGCUAGGAGUAUUAAUUUCUCACAUCACAAUUCACUUGCCGGUAUUCAGGUUACAAUAACACAGAGACUAAGGAAUGAAUGAUGGUGGCGAAAGGUAUCACUGCAUCAAGAAUUCAUAAGAGUCGGUGCAAUUCUCAUGACAUUCUUGAUAUAAGAUGGUAAUACCCCAAGGUAGGACAGAACAAAAACUGGAUUAUCAUUUUGAUCUGUGGAAUACAACUACUUUGACCCAAUCCUAGAUAUGGAUGAGCUACUGGAGUUUGUUUCUCCUAGUCAUUCCGGAAUAGUAUGGCUUGACGGACCACAAGAGUAAAAGGCAUCGAUGACCACAAAUGCACACACACUCUUGGCUAUCAACUCAUAGAGGAUGUUCAGGAUACAACUGAAGAGGAACAACUCAAGGAACAUAUAACUUUUUGAGUUGUGGAUGCAUAGAUUAGUAUGUCGAGCAAAACUCAACAUUUCUUUCGGACAACCCAUGCAGAAAGGUAGGACUGGCAGAACCGCAAUGCAGAAUGGAGAACUCAUCAAGAGCACUCUGGUUGUGAUCUUUUGGUUCAAAGAACUUCUGCUAUAAGGGGUUCGUAGUAUUUGGAAGAAGGAACUACCACGGACCUCGAGGAUUAAUGCAAAGGUUAAUAAUAUCCUAAAGGAACGAGCAAACACUAUCAACAGGAGGUAAGUAGGGUGAACUCGGGUUCAAGAACCCAGGAAUAGAAUACCUACUACUAAAUGGCAUCACGGGAUGCUUUCGAGAAUGGUGGCCAGAAUCAUCACGGGAACACAAAACAUGGCAAGAUUACUAGGUGACUCCCUAAAACACCUAGGGUCAUGAUAAUAGCCCCAACAUAUAUGUCGAGGCAACAGAGUACCUCAACUCACCGAUAGUGUGAUUACUCUGGCCCAAAAGGACAUCGUAAACGGGAAGAAAGGAUUGCAAAUGCAUCAGACUAGUUAGAGACCUGGGAUGACUCGGACAGGAUAACGGCUGUAAUUGCUCAAAAAAAUUUGAGACAUCCUGCAAAAUGGUGGCAUAACCACUCAACAUCACAAUAUCAAGGUUCUGAGGCCAGCUAUGAACAUAUGGAAGUAGUAGGAACGGAACUAAGGCUUGAACUCAACAAUCCUAGGCAACUACGGUUUUGUAACACGUCAUCCUGAGAGAUAGAAGAGAAGCCUAGUUCUUAACCCCGUAGAAAAGAAGAGUUUGACUCAAAUCAGAAGGGCAUAAGGUAAAGGAGUAAAAAGAGCCUUACGUUCCCUUCCACAAUCAAUUCCCUUAUAUAACUAAAGCAUUUCUAGACUCAACUUUGACCAGUAUGGCUUGGUAAUCCUACAGGCAGUCAGGCUCUGAUACCAAAGCUGUCAGGACCCUGAUUCCAAGUCACACCGAUCUAGCCUGUAACACCUCAUAUCACUUUGCGGCCUCACGCAUGGUAUUCCCACAGGUGUCGCCUUACCAUGGCCCGGGACCGUUUGCGCCUUUUGGCUCACGUAUAUGAUAGUGUCGCUAGCAUCCAUAUGAUAGAGAACCCGGGCCGACAUGACUAGUCGUGAACCCAAAGUGGCACUAACUUAUGGGGACAGGCAUACUUGAAUCAACAUUGAGCAUGUCGGUCAGCAACGCGCGAAUCCGGGCUGUAGCACUGGGCUAACAGGACUCCGGUGAACCGGGCUGUAGCAGGCUAGGCAGGACUCCGAAUGUCACCGCGUGACAUUUCCCCGAAGGGACAGACAUAGGAACAAAGUGAAUCACAUGCCGGCCAGUCAAGUGUUCCGGAGCAGUAGUGCUGGGCUAGCAGGACUCCGGUGAACCGGGCUGCAACGGACUACUAUGGCUCAUGGAAGCACAAGACUACAUUUCCACAUAAGAGAGGCUACCAAGGAUAAACAACUAGGUUGUCGGAUCCCACACAUACCAAGCAUUUCAAUCAUACACACAAUAUGCUCAAUAUGUGCAAUACAACAUGGCAUCACAACAAGACUCUACGACUCAGAGUAUUAUUCAUUAGGCUCCGAAGAGCGAGAUAUUACAAACAUGGGUCUCAUGACCCAACAUUCAGAGCAUACAAGUCAAAGCACAUGCGGAAGCUUAACUUGUGUGAGUACAUAGAACUAAAAAAGAAGAAGGCUGAGGAGCCUGACUAUCUACAAGACCCUCCCAAGGGUACAAGAUCGUAGCUGAGGUAACAAGCUAAACGUCGAAGUCCACGUGGAACUACUAGCGAGACUGAAGUCUCUCUGCAAAACAUAAAUUAAGCAAAUGUGAGUACAAAUGUACCCAGAAAGACUUACAUCAGAACUAACUACAUAUGCAUCGGUAUCAACAAAGGGGGUGGUGGAGUUUAACUGCAGCAAGCCAGCUUUGACUCGGUGGCUAUCCUGAACUACGACUGCAAGUAACUCUUUUGAGGUGGCGCACACGAGUCCACAAAUUCACCACACCAAUACACCACUAUGGAUCCACUCCCGUCUCCCUGCGAGAACGCCAUCCAUAGCACUCAUGCUCAUCUUGCGAGUUUUAGAGUAUCCACUUUCACUUGUCUAUGAACUAUGCAAGGGGUCCAAGUUUCCAUAUCCGAGGAAUUCGGCUAUCCGAAUAGAUAAUGAUAACCCUGCAUGGGUCUACUUCUUCACACACGCUCUCGCCACUUACCACCAUGUACACAUCGUGUAUCUCGGCAACCUUCAAGCGGAAGCCUGGCGAGGGAGUCGGCCACGACCUGACUAACCAACAAGUCUCUUGUCCAGGUUUAUCGCCUAUUCGGGUUCCAUCCACAAGGAGAUCCGUCCGGGGUGUCGCUCACGGCCCCAAACGAUCUGAGCAAGAUUCCCAAGCCCACCAUCCGGGGUCCACUUGGUACACCAUGACACUGUGCCUAGUAUGUCCCAAGCCCACCUAUACUGGGUGCCACUUGGUAGACUACUAACACUACCUACAAACACCAGAAACUAGUUGCAACUCCUGGACAAAGAUCAGGUUGAGUAAUAAGUCGAGAGAGCUUGGAGCGACCGGAGCCCAAUGUGUGGUAGUAACUGUUAAUGGAUCACAGACACAGAACUCAGUUCCUGAGGACGGCUGCAAUGAGACAACCCACCAUGUACUCCUACAUUGCCUCUCACUGCUACCUUUACCAAAUCGUGUUCACACACUUAGCUCACACACAGUAGGACAAGUUCAACACUAUUCCAAUUCAUCCCCAAUGAAUCAGACCUGACUCAACUCUAAGCAGUAGCAGGCAUGACAAACAAACAUGAAUGAGUAGGCACAUCAGGGCUCAAACAACUCCUACUCAUGCUAGUGGGUUUCAUCUAUUUACUGUGGCAAUGAUCGGUCAUGCGGAGGAAAGGGGUUCAGCUACUGCAGCAUGUAAGAGUUGAAACGUUGUUCUCCUAAUGCAGUAAAAGAGAGCAGGAGCGAGAGAGUGAGAUUGUAUUAGAAUGAACAAGGGGGUUUGCUUGCCUGGCACUUCUAAAGAUAACAUUGAGUCUUCAUCAGUGUCAUCGAUCACAACGUCGGAGCAGCGUCUAUGAAGAGGGGACAAUUACCGGCAAACAAGGAGGAGCACAAUCAAUGCAAUGCACAAUAUGAUGCAUGAUCAUGACAUGACAAUAUGUUGUGAUUGAGCUAAUGCAACUAGCAACAAAAUUAAAUGAAGUUGGUUUGAACCCAAAGUUCAAAUUCAAACUCCACAAGUGGUUAUUUAAAUGACAUUCAUUUGAUUUGUCCUAAACAGUAGCUAUAAGUUGUUCUAACAUGCAUGAAAAUGGUACAGAUGGAUAGAUUGUUUUUUCUGAUCAUUUUUCAUAUAUAAUUUGUUUCAUUUGGAGUUAUGGUUUAAUUCCUAUGAUUUUUAGAAGUUUUGGGCAUUUUCUGGAAUUUCCUGAAAAAGAAUAAAUCCAGAAAAUGAGUUAUUGCGUCAGCACUGCGUCACUGUGAAGUCAGCUAGUCAACAGCGCCUAACCAGAGUCAAACCUGACAGUGGGACCCAUAUGUCAUUGACUCAGCUAAUUAAUGUAUUUAAUUAACCUUAAAUUAAGCCUAACUAAAAUGUAAGUGGGGCCGGGGCCCACAUGUCAGCGGCUAACCUAACUAUUAGGGUUAAUUAGCACUAAUCUAAUCUAGCUAAAGAUUAACAGGGACGGGCCUGUACGUCAUUGACCCUGGGGGUCAAACCCGAGGUUAAACGGGUCAACUUCGCUGGACUUGGUCCACGGCUCAUUGCCGGUGACGCCAGAGACGGCGGAGGCGCUCGGAAUCGCAACUCAGGCGACCAAAUGAGCGGCGGAGAGGCUCUACGGGGAGCUGGUGAUCGCGCGCAUCUAACGGGGCAAGCGGGAGCAGUUGGGGUGGGCUGAGCUCAUCGGAAGGGAGCUCGUAACGGCGGCCGAAGUUCGGCCAACGAUAGUUUUACGCGUUGCGGGGCAUGUCCGGAGCCGUGGAUGGUCAUGAGCGACCUGCGGAAGUGCAACGAGUGCUGCGGUGGGCUCAGACGCGUGCUUGCACGGCCGUGGUCGCGGUGGCGACAUGGCCGGCGGUGAGGAGCUAUCCGCUCCGCUGGCUAUGGUGGUUAGAAGGCGUGGACGAGCACGGGGAGAGAGGGGAAAGGACCAGGAGCUCACGGGGAGGCGGCGGAGUAGACCGGGAGCUCACGAUGAAGCAGGGCCUCCUGCGAGGCGUGAGUCGGUGGAGGGGACGUGGGCGGUGUUGCGGUUCUUCCGAAAGCGUCAGCGAGGCAAGUCGUGGACGGUGGCCGCGGUGGCAGCGAGCGGCGUCAACGGCGGAACUCGUUGGCACUGCGGAAGCAAGCAAAGGAGGGAGAGGGAGUAUUGGGAGAGAGGGGGGAGGUCGAGGGGGUCGCAUGUCGUUCGUAGCCAGCUCCAGGCGGAUAGCGGCAAGCAGGAGGUGGCGAGCUACGGCGCACGCGGACACGCCUCUGCCAGUAGGCAGAGGUUGAAGACGGCCCUGCCCCUGGUGGGCUGGCCAGUGCAGUUGGGCCGACUACACGUAAGGCCAGGUAGGUUUUCUCCUUCUCUGUUUUUUUUAUUUUGGUUUCUGUUUUCUAUUUUUGCAAUUUGUUUUUGAUUUGGUAAAAACACCAAAUCGUUUCUAUAAAUCCUGAAAUUAAUUAUGAGCAAUAACUGAAUUAUCUCGGAGGCCCUUAGCUAUUUUCAGAAUUGUUGGAGCAUUUAAUAAUAUUAAUAGCAAUUAAAUGCCCCAAUUCAAAUAUUUUAUGACUUAAAUUCAGUGCCCAACUUGUUCCUUAAAAAUGAUCAUUAUUUUUGGUAUGGAUCAAAACCAUUGCCAAAAAUAUCAAACAUCAAAUAAGAGCAUUUUGGGUUCUUGAAUGCAAUUUAUUUAAGCUGGACCUAUUUGGAUUUCAAAGUGCUAGGGUUUUAUCACCCCCAAUUCAAAUUUUAAAUAAAAUUUAAACAUGAUGCACACAUGAAGCUAGCCUAGUGCAAAACC
This 8138-nucleotide long non-coding RNA is filed under the name Triticum aestivum (bread wheat). RNAcentral's name for it is "long non-coding RNA (TAES_LNC005886)". The record is from RNAcentral. Lineage: Eukaryota; Viridiplantae; Streptophyta; Magnoliopsida; Poales; Poaceae.